This 292-nucleotide ribosomal RNA is filed under the name uncultured bacterium. RNAcentral's name for it is "partial 16S ribosomal RNA". It matches the Rfam family "Bacterial small subunit ribosomal RNA", at positions 505 to 796 of the family's 1533-position model. The record is from RNAcentral.
GUGCCAGCAGCCGCGGUAAUACGUAGGGAGCAAGCGUUGUCCGGAUUCACUGGGUGUAAAGGGUGCGCAGGCGGGAGAGUAAGUCAGAGGUGAAAUCUCACAGCUUAACUGUGAAACUGCCUUUGAUACUGCUUUUCUUGAGUUCGGGAGAGGUUGAUGGAAUUCCAGGUGUAGCGGUGAAAUGCGUAGAUAUCUGGAAGAACACCAGUGGCGAAGGCGGUCAACUGGCCCGUAACUGACGCUCAGGCACGAAAGCGUGGGUAGCGAACAGGAUUAGAUACCCUGGUAGUCC